This 253-nucleotide ribosomal RNA is filed under the name uncultured bacterium. RNAcentral's name for it is "partial 16S ribosomal RNA". It matches the Rfam family "Bacterial small subunit ribosomal RNA", at positions 524 to 776 of the family's 1533-position model. The record is from RNAcentral.
GACAGAGGGUGCAAACAUUGUUCGGAAUUACUGGGCGUAAAGCGCGUGUAGGUGGCAAGGCAAGUCGGGUGUGAAAGCCCUGGGCUCAACCCAGGAAGUGCACUCGAUACUGCCUCGCUAGAGUCCCGGAGAGGUUGGUGGAACUCUCGGUGUAGAGGUGAAAUUCGUAGAUAUCGAGAAGAACACCGGUGGCGAAGGCGGCCAACUGGACGGUGACUGACACUGAGACGCGAAAGCGUGGGGAGCAAACAGG